Anas platyrhynchos (mallard) is the source of this 1483-nucleotide non-coding RNA. The record is from RefSeq and is a predicted model, not a curated record. Lineage: Eukaryota; Metazoa; Chordata; Aves; Anseriformes; Anatidae.
UCAUGAGAAAAAACAAGACUUAUUUUAUUAGAAAGAAAUAGUUCAGAACCAUUGACUACCAAAUUUUAGCAGAAUUUUAAAGAAAUACGUGUGUUUUCUUUUUUAGAUGGUCAGCCAUCAGUUCAAGUAUUUGAUAAAACUCUCCAAAUAAAGCAGAUGCAUGUGUUGGAAGCUCUGGAUGUUUUGAUUGCCCGAACAGACGAAAGUAGGAAAGGUCCUUGUUAUUUGGUUCUUAUUUGAAUGUCUGUUUAACUGUUUAUUUGGCAGACAUAUCAGUAGAAGGGAAUGCCUUAGGUGCUUUUCUUUAAGAGUUGUUUUUGUUUUUUAACUUGGAAGCAUGCUGUAGAAUUUUAAUUCCCACAGCACUAGAUUUAUAUAAUCACCUUUUGUCCUUUUGUCACAUCACAUAGCUAUUCUUAAUUAUUGUAAUUAGGUUUUUGAGCUCUGAGUUUAUUGUUCUCCUUUUCAGAUCUUUCCACUACUUUCCCUUUGCUGAUUUCCCCUGGGCUGCUUACGUACAUGCCCUAUGGCUUUAGGGUUUGUAAGUGUCUUGAGGUGUGGAAAAAAAUCUCUAGAUGCUCAGAAUCAUGCUUCAGAGCAAACCUGAAACUGGCCAUAUUGAAUCAUCAAAUGGUUUUGGUUGGAAACAACUUUUCAAGACCUUUUAGUCCGACCUCCCUGCCAUGGUCAGGUACAUCUUUCAGUAGAUGAGGUUGCCCAAAGCCUCAUCCAGCCUGACCUUGAACACUUCAGGAGAUGGGACAUCCACAUCUUCUCUGGGCAACCUGUUCCAGUGCCUCACCACUCUCAUAGAUUAGAUAAAAGGAAUAAAUUUUUUGCUAAAUCUACCGUCUUUCUGUUUGAAACUAUUACGCCUUGUGCUGUCACUACGUGCCCUUGUAAAAUGUCUCUCUCUCUCUUUCUUAUAAGCCUCCUUUAAGUAUUGAAAGGCCACAAUAACGUCUCCUCAGAGCCUUCUUUUAUCCAGGUUAAAAGAACACAGCUUCCUCAGCCUUUCUUGUAGGUGUUCCAGCCCUCUUAUCAUUUUUGUGACCCUUCUCUGGAUCCACUUUAACAGGUCCAUGUCCUUCUUGUGCUGGGCACACCUGAGCUGAACACAGUACUCCAGGUUGUAUCUUACAGGGGCAGUGUGAAGUGGGGGAGUAUCACUUCCCUCGACCUUCUAGGCCACACUUCUUUUUGUGCAGCACAGGAUAUGAUUAACUUUCUGGGCUGAAGGUAGACAUUACUGGCUCACGCCAGAUUUGUCAUCCACCAGUAUAUAGUUGGUCUCCAGCUACUCUUAGAACUCAACACUCUGGAAAUCUCCCUAGCUGAAUAAUGUGUUUGUUCAGUUGUACAAAAACGUGGAGGAAAUUACUUAUGCUGUCACUGUUCUACCAAAUGUGUUACUGGUUUUUGUUCUGUGAUGUGUAACUACAUUCUAGUGCUAUAGAUUAUAUUCUCUUAAAUAUUCUGGUAU